Long non-coding RNA from Varroa destructor (honeybee mite), 797 nucleotides. RefSeq lists it as uncharacterized. NCBI's taxonomy places the organism in Eukaryota, Metazoa, Arthropoda, Arachnida, Mesostigmata, Varroidae. The record is from RefSeq and is a predicted model, not a curated record.
UGGCCCGGCAACGAUUCGGGACGGGUAGACCUCUUACGACUUGUUCGCUUCGUCAACAAGAAUCUAUAAACAACAUUAAUAACAUCGAUAGAGCGAACCCAAUGUUGCUGCUGAGACAUUUAGUCCCUUGCCAGCAGACUUUCUUCCGUUCGCUAAUCAAUUCCAAUUAGUUGGAAGGUAGAGGAAACCGGAGUACCGACUACUGCCACUGUCGUGCAGUCACUAAUUAGUAUGUUUACCUGUCUAAAUGGGUGCAUGUGUAUUUCAAAUCGUGGCUUAUCUCGCGUUCGGUUUAUUGGAUCAGUGAGAUGGUGGGUCUGCGAUGUCUGUGCUUCUUAUGGAUGAAGAAACGCGCAAGACGUGACGUUUGUUGCAAUGGUCACGGACAGCGUUGCGACGAUCGAAGUGUUAUCUUGCAGGUGACAGUCGUCACCUCUUAUCGUCACUCACUAUUAUGGCAAACUUUGUUUAAUAAUGUUUAUAUCGGAUCCAGCGGCUUCAGUCCUUCGUAAGCGGAUAGUUACAACGUGACAGGAAAGGUCGUUGCAUCGUAGUAUCGGACACCGCUUGCAUGUUUGUUUGCCCUAGUUAGUUUGUGCAGACUGCAAAAUUCUACCUUGAGAGUACUGCUCAAAACCAUCAACAGCUUUUGGUCUGUGUCUAACAGCCUGGAUAAAGCGGAACCCACUGAUCAAUCCUGAUGACUGUAGUUCUGUUUAAACGACAACUGAAUGAUGACUAGUUCGCCGUAGCUGGAUACGAUCGAUUUCCAUAUCGGUUACAAUGGUCUUUAAAUA